Molecule: ribosomal RNA, 450 nt
Filed under: uncultured organism
Description: partial 16S ribosomal RNA
Rfam family: Bacterial small subunit ribosomal RNA
Source: RNAcentral
ACGUACACUCCUACGGGAGGCAGCAGUGGGGAAUAUUGGACAAUGGGCGCAAGCCUGAUCCAGCCAUGCCGCGUGAGUGAUGAAGGCCCUAGGGUUGUAAAGCUCUUUCACCGGUGAAGAUAAUGACGGUAACCGGAGAAGAAGCCCCGGCUAACUUCGUGCCAGCAGCCGCGGUAAUACGAAGGGGGCUAGCGUUGUUCGGAUUUACUGGGCGUAAAGCGCACGUAGGCGGACUAUUAAGUCAGGGGUGAAAUCCCGGGGCUCAACCCCGGAACUGCCUUUGAUACUGGUAGUCUUGAGUUCGAGAGAGGUGAGUGGAAUUCCGAGUGUAGAGGUGAAAUUCGUAGAUAUUCGGAGGAACACCAGUGGCGAAGGCGGCUCACUGGCUCGAUACUGACGCUGAGGUGCGAAAGCGUGGGGAGCAAACAGGAUUAGAUACCCGUGUAGUCC